RNAcentral lists this ribosomal RNA (465 nucleotides) under uncultured Streptococcus sp. Its description in RNAcentral is "bacterial SSU rRNA". It matches the Rfam family "Bacterial small subunit ribosomal RNA", at positions 338 to 795 of the family's 1533-position model. The record is from RNAcentral. Lineage: Bacteria; Bacillati; Bacillota; Bacilli; Lactobacillales; Streptococcaceae.
CCUACGGGAGGCAGCAGUAGGGAAUCUUCGGCAAUGGACGGAAGUCUGACCGAGCAACGCCGCGUGAGUGAAGAAGGUUUUCGGAUCGUAAAGCUCUGUUGUAAGAGAAGAACGAGUGUGAGAGUGGAAAGUUCACACUGUGACGGUAUCUUACCAGAAAGGGACGGCUAACUACGUGCCAGCAGCCGCGGUAAUACGUAGGUCCCGAGCGUUGUCCGGAUUUAUUGGGCGUAAAGCGAGCGCAGGCGGUUAGAUAAGUCUGAAGUUAAAGGCUGUGGCUUAACCAUAGUACGCUUUGGAAACUGUUUAACUUGAGUGCAGAAGGGGAGAGUGGAAUUCCAUGUGUAGCGGUGAAAUGCGUAGAUAUAUGGAGGAACACCGGUGGCGAAAGCGGCUCUCUGGUCUGUAACUGACGCUGAGGCUCGAAAGCGUGGGGAGCAAACAGGAUUAGAUACCCCAGUAGUC